GUGAGGAAUUUUCCGCAAUGGGCGAAAGCCUGACGGAGCAAUGCCGCGUGAAGGAUGAAGGCCUAUGGGUUGUAAACUUCUUUUCUCAGAAAAGAAUUAUGACGGUAUCUGAGGAAUAAGCAUCGGCUAACUCUGUGCCAGCAGCCGCGGUAAGACAGAGGAUGCAAGCGUUAUCCGGAAUGAUUGGGCGUAAAGCGUCUGUAGGUUGUUUAAAAAGUAUUCUGUCAAAGAUUAGGGCUUAACCCUAGAAAGGCAGAAUAAACUUUUAAGCUAGAGUUUGGUAGAGGCAGAGGGAAUUCCCGGUGGAGCGGUGAAAUGCGUAGAUAUCGGGAGGAACACCAAAGGCGAAGGCACUCUGCUGGGCCAAUACUAACACUGAGAGACGAAAGCGAGGGGAGCAAAUGGGAUUAGAUACCCGGGUAGUCC
RNAcentral lists this ribosomal RNA (426 nucleotides) under uncultured bacterium. Its description in RNAcentral is "partial 16S ribosomal RNA". It matches the Rfam family "Bacterial small subunit ribosomal RNA", at positions 354 to 796 of the family's 1533-position model. The record is from RNAcentral.